RNAcentral lists this ribosomal RNA (1528 nucleotides) under Klebsiella pneumoniae BIDMC 40. Its description in RNAcentral is "bacterial SSU rRNA". It matches the Rfam family "Bacterial small subunit ribosomal RNA". The record is from RNAcentral. Lineage: Bacteria; Pseudomonadati; Pseudomonadota; Gammaproteobacteria; Enterobacterales; Enterobacteriaceae.
AGAGUUUGAUCAUGGCUCAGAUUGAACGCUGGCGGCAGGCCUAACACAUGCAAGUCGAGCGGUAGCACAGAGAGCUUGCUCUCGGGUGACGAGCGGCGGACGGGUGAGUAAUGUCUGGGAAACUGCCUGAUGGAGGGGGAUAACUACUGGAAACGGUAGCUAAUACCGCAUAACGUCGCAAGACCAAAGUGGGGGACCUUCGGGCCUCAUGCCAUCAGAUGUGCCCAGAUGGGAUUAGCUAGUAGGUGGGGUAACGGCUCACCUAGGCGACGAUCCCUAGCUGGUCUUAGAGGAUGACCAGCCACACUGGAACUGAGACACGGUCCAGACUCCUACGGGAGGCAGCAGUGGGGAAUAUUGCACAAUGGGCGCAAGCCUGAUGCAGCCAUGCCGCGUGUGUGAAGAAGGCCUUCGGGUUGUAAAGCACUUUCAGCGGGGAGGAAGGCGUUAAGGUUAAUAACCUUGGCGAUUGACGUUACCCGCAGAAGAAGCACCGGCUAACUCCGUGCCAGCAGCCGCGGUAAUACGGAGGGUGCAAGCGUUAAUCGGAAUUACUGGGCGUAAAGCGCACGCAGGCGGUCUGUCAAGUCGGAUGUGAAAUCCCCGGGCUCAACCUGGGAACUGCAUUCGAAACUGGCAGGCUAGAGUCUUGUAGAGGGGGGUAGAAUUCCAGGUGUAGCGGUGAAAUGCGUAGAGAUCUGGAGGAAUACCGGUGGCGAAGGCGGCCCCCUGGACAAAGACUGACGCUCAGGUGCGAAAGCGUGGGGAGCAAACAGGAUUAGAUACCCUGGUAGUCCACGCCGUAAACGAUGUCGAUUUGGAGGUUGUGCCCUUGAGGCGUGGCUUCCGGAGCUAACGCGUUAAAUCGACCGCCUGGGGAGUACGGCCGCAAGGUUAAAACUCAAAUGAAUUGACGGGGGCCCGCACAAGCGGUGGAGCAUGUGGUUUAAUUCGAUGCAACGCGAAGAACCUUACCUGGUCUUGACAUCCACAGAACUUAGCAGAGAUGCUUUGGUGCCUUCGGGAACUGUGAGACAGGUGCUGCAUGGCUGUCGUCAGCUCGUGUUGUGAAAUGUUGGGUUAAGUCCCGCAACGAGCGCAACCCUUAUCCUUUGUUGCCAGCGGUCCGGCCGGGAACUCAAAGGAGACUGCCAGUGAUAAACUGGAGGAAGGUGGGGAUGACGUCAAGUCAUCAUGGCCCUUACGACCAGGGCUACACACGUGCUACAAUGGCAUAUACAAAGAGAAGCGACCUCGCGAGAGCAAGCGGACCUCAUAAAGUAUGUCGUAGUCCGGAUUGGAGUCUGCAACUCGACUCCAUGAAGUCGGAAUCGCUAGUAAUCGUAGAUCAGAAUGCUACGGUGAAUACGUUCCCGGGCCUUGUACACACCGCCCGUCACACCAUGGGAGUGGGUUGCAAAAGAAGUAGGUAGCUUAACCUUCGGGAGGGCGCUUACCACUUUGUGAUUCAUGACUGGGGUGAAGUCGUAACAAGGUAACCGUAGGGGAACCUGCGGUUGGAUCACCU